CGGCCCGGCCGCAGCGACAGCAGCGGCUGCCGCCGGACGGCGGAGCGCCCGCAGCAACGCUGCUCGCAAGUGCGUGCGCAAAUCGAGGAGCUUGGAAAAGACCUCCGAGAUCAUGGAGUCCAACCUGCGCCCAAACACCACCUUGUCAACUAGACCAUGGCACUGAGUGCCACGGUCAGUCUUUCCUUAAACACCUCCAGCACCUGCCUGGGCAGCCCAUUCCAAUGUUUAAUCAGCCUUUCUGUGAAGAAAUUUCUCCACAUGUCCAGCCUAAACCUUCCAAGGAACAGCUGAAGAAGACCAUGUCCUCUAAUCCUGUCACUGGGUGCCUGGCUGACCCCUACCUGGCUACAAGCUCCUUCCAGGGAGUUGCAGACGAUGAGGUCACCCCUGAGCCUCCUCCUCUCCAGGCUAAGGUCCUGGUCUUCUGUUUGCCAACCCAUCAAUCCCGCACCAGAGCAGGAAGCACUGGAAAGGAACAAAAUAAAAACAUCAUCAUUUUCCACGCUUAUAAGUCCAAGACACUUUACUUGUCCUGAAAGCAGCGUUUUGCAGGACUAUUUCACAGCAACAGUACAGGAUGGAUUUGCCUAGCUCUAUUAAUAAGGCCACAAACUUUCUGAAAGACUACUUUUGUAGAGCUUUUCUGCUUAUUAAAUUUUCCCGCAAUCCAAA
Passer domesticus (house sparrow) is the source of this 675-nucleotide long non-coding RNA. RefSeq lists it as uncharacterized. The transcript is spliced from 2 exons. The record is from RefSeq and is a predicted model, not a curated record. NCBI's taxonomy places the organism in Eukaryota, Metazoa, Chordata, Aves, Passeriformes, Passeridae.